GAGGGAGAAGGCGGGUUGCACGGCAGCGGCAUGGGCAGGGCGAGGGAGAGAAGUUGCAGGCGGCUCCUGCCGGGGCUGGCUGGGCAGGACGCGGGGUGCCCGAGGCCAGGGGGCGCCGAGCGGGGCAGCGUCCCGGGGCAGCGCCGCGGACGGGACGAGCCCCGGGGGGAGGCAGAGACAGGAGCUGCCAGCGCCUCCGAAGUUGAGGUCAGUGUGCUGGGGUGGGAGGUUGUUGCUGGCUUCUUGGAAGCAUGCAUCCGUCUGCAUUGGGUUAAUCCUCCAGAAGCUGGUGAGCCACUGACUAACGCACAUUGUGCUGUUAAAGACUCCACUGUGCGUGUGACAGCGGCUAACCUGCUUUUCGGACAUCACUGUAUACACGCCAUCAUCCUGCCCCAUGAAGAGGCAUUACUUGAUCCUGGGGACUGCACCUAGCUUCCAUCAACAUGGUAGGAGAGAGCUGUUCACAUCCCAGCAGCAGCCCCUGACAAAUUCACCGACCUGAACUAUUGUGAAAUCUUCAGAAAAGUUUGCUUGCAAUUUGUUUCUUUCCUUUAAAACUCAAGCUGAGAGGGAGCACAGUACCUUUUCUUAAAAUAAGUUCAUUGAUUGUACUAUGUUUAAUGAGUUCCCCUUGAUACGUGUGCCUUUCAGACACUGUGUGUUUUUGUUAGUUUGUUUUUUUUAAAUUAGCAACCUCUCAGUGGCAGAGCAUUGAAAGACUUAAUGCUUCUGGGCCAUUCUGCUACAAGGACCCAGUGAAGUGUAUACAUUAUGACGUGAGCUAGGGCUUCUGUGACAGGAAACAGCUAUAAAGUCUUCCUGGGAAGACUGCAAAUGCAAUAGCACAUCUUUGAAAAUGAGACCCUGCUUCCCUCCACCUCACCCAUUCCUUCCAAAAAGCUAGUGACUUGGGGUUUUGUUUAAAUCAUGUUAGUUGGAGAAACUCUUCAGCCAGCCAGUGACAUCUUGGUACCCAGUCAAUGACUAAUUGAACUCCUGCUGCCAAGGGUGUGUUAACAGAAUAAACUAUGCUUGGUAUUGCCCUGGUGAGUCAUUUUAAAGACUCUCUUAAAUCUGUUUAGAAGUAAAGCAUAAACCAGUUUCACCUUCCAGUUUUUCUUAGCACCUUUGCAGUUUCUUGCAGCUGGCUGUGUUUUAAAUGAAGGCUCUGCUCCUUUCCAAGCCAGUUUUCUCUCCUGAUUUGAUCCUGCAGUGAAGUCUUACUGAUAAAAACUCAAGUGACUCCAUUCAUUUCUCUAGCAACAGAAUGUGAUGUCACAAAUGCAGAAUCAGCACUUCAUUGCUUGCGUCAUGCGGAAAGCAAAGGCAAUGAGAGGGAAGUUUCAGAUAUUUGUGGUUGCAUUAAACAGCAACAGUAAAGAGGACAGAGGAAGUGACCAAGCAAAUUGUGUUUGGUAUAAAGUUCUUUCAGUUUUGCUCCAUUAUGGAAACUCACUAGCUACAGAGUUUGCUCUUAGGGUGAGGUGUGGGGCUGUUUUACUUCUAGAUGACUUCAUGACUCCAAGCCAGGUUAGUAGCAACCAGAUACUGUUUACCGAUAGCUGUUUAGUGGCCUCUAUGAAAUGAUUUGGUGCUCUCCAUUUCAUUCCAGCCAUACCUUGGGGGAAACCUAGCAUUUCAUCCCAUUGAAAAAAAAAAGAGAUGUUCUUUUAGUGGCCAAAAAGGCUCAGGUUUGUUUGUACGUAAUUAGUAACACAAGAAAGUUUGAAGUCAGGUCUUUCUCAUACAGCUACAAAUCAGAUAAAGCAAGAAACUGCUUUAAAAGAGAAAGUGUAAGUCUGUACCUUCCUGAGCAGCAUAUUCUUGCUAAGCAUUUUCCCCUCACAUCCUGAAGUGGGCAUGUUUGCUCUCCUGAGAGGAAGUCAACUCUUCUGUCCUCUGAUCAGGGUAACUAAGUCCAGCUGGCUGGGUCAGAAACACAGCUGUGUCCUCUUAGCCCAAAUAACCUGGAAGGGAGGAGAGCAGCUUUGGCAGCUGCUGGUGGCUGCAUCUACACAAUAGCUGCCUGGCUCUCUUGUGAUGUUAAAAAUAGGAUCAGGGUGUUUGUGGUUUCCCCUACCCCCAAAUACCCUAUCAAGAAUCUGCAAAUGCUCAUAACCUCCCUCCCAAAGCUGGCUUGCUCAAUAGAGAGGCUGAGAACUGACUGGGCCACAGAGAAUUAACUACCUUCUCCUAGGGCAGUUAAGAGGCUGGUCAGUGGAAGGAUAGAGCAGGGGACUCUUGUAUUGUAGAUAUCUGUGAUGCAACAAUUCUGCAGACAAACAGAGGAUGUCAGUUUCUGAGGCCAUCUACUCUGAUCGCUAUUUAUAUUACCACCAGUCAGUGGCUUAGCUACACAAGUGAUUCUACUCUCAGAGCUGCACUGGUGGGACGCAGCAGUAGGGAAACUUGAAAACCACUAGUGUAGACCAGGCCUGGUGCUUUUGCACCUUUCUCAGUUCAAACUAGGACAAAACUUGGCUAUGGUAUGGAAGCCCCCAGGGCUGGCUCCAGGCACCAGCGUUCCAAGCAGGUGCUUGGGGAGUCAAUCUGCAAGGGGCAGCCGUCCAUGCGCCGUUAGGGCGUUUCCACGGCGGUGGCGGGAAUUCGGCACGCUGCUCAGGACAGCAAAAAACAGUAGAGCCAGCCCUGGAAGCCUCCACUUAAUAAGUCUGCACUGAAACUUACAGCUAUACAAUGGGACAGUUCCUUAUUUCAUGUGUGUACAUAGUCUAUAACAUGCAUUCUGCUGAAAAGGAGACCCUUGGACUGGCCAUGAGGAGGCUUUAUAAUGUCAAAAUGUGGACUCCCUAGGCUGAUACUUGCUGGGUAUGAGAUCAUCUUUGCAGACAUGUUGAUUUCAAAUUCCUCUUAGGUGGUAGCUGCAUUUCUACCUAUGAUACCGAAGUGUGACAAUACCAUACCUGAGAACCAUAUUUCCCCCCAAAUUUACAAUAUUCUUGUACUGGUAUCACAUCCUGUGCAGCUCCAAUAAGAUAAGUGGGGAGUUUGAAGCAACAAACUCCUCCCCCCCCGCCCCCCCUUGUCUAUUCACCAUGGAGAAUGGUGUGUUGCUGGUUUUUAAAAAAAAAAAAAAAAAAAAAUGCUUCUAUGGUAAGAGUCUAGUGCUGUGAUCAGACUAGCCUGUUGUCACCUACAGUUCUCAAUAAAUACUACAAUAUCACUGUGUAUACAUUCAUUAUUACAUUCAUGACCCUGGGAUGAUGAAAGCUUAAGUAGAUCCAGCUGUGAGACAUGAUAGGCUGGCCCAACAACUGAAAAUGAAAAUCCCUUCCUUUCAGUAUCUCUGCUACAUAAUAUUAAAGCCUCUGGGUUUUUUGCCUCUGCUUUCACUGCCCCGGCAGUAGUGGACUGUCCAUUGGCUUGAGUAGGAAAGUGGAGUGGACUAGCUGUGCUGAAGAAGUAUGGUGUUCGGAGGUGUCUGUCUGUACUAGAACAAGCUGAAAUGUUCACCUUACUGUCCUCUUCCAAUAGCUCUGAGAAGAACCUCUCAGCUUUGAAGCAUAAAAACCUUUGAUGUAGGUGGGUUAUAGUCACUCUGAAAGACAAUUCUGCUGAGAAAAUACAGCCCCCAGUUAAAUGGUGUGUGCUUGUGUGUCAUUUGCCUGGGGCGGGCAGGGGUUUGUAGAAUAUAAAAACUUAGCAAUUGUUAAGAAACAGAUACUAUAACCUGGAAUUCACAUUUACAACAGGAACGUUCAGGGCUAAAUUAAAGCAAGGGCUUAAAAGCCGUUGGUGUACAGACGGAGAAGUGAGUGUCUUGUAGUAGUAGUGGAGGGUGCUGAAAUGAAGCCUGUUUAGCAGAAAGAUCCUUCAGAUAUUUUAUAUUUAUUCUGCUUUGAUUUCAAAGCCUUGCAAAGGAGGCUGGUAGACCAAUAGAGUUUACCCAUUAGUGCUAGGAAAUGCAAGCACCCUUGUGUGUUUGUAAUGCACACGCCACUUGCAAAUCACAUGGUGUGUAUUAGGUGCGUUUAGACCUGAAUAUCAAUGAAGAGAGAAGCUAGUGUGUUAGGAAUAAAAGAAUAUCAAAAAGUUAAAAGAGGGUCUGUUACUUUUACAUAAGUGCAAGUAGGAGCUUAUAUAAUACUUUUUAAAAA
Chelonia mydas (Green sea turtle) is the source of this 4121-nucleotide long non-coding RNA. RefSeq lists it as uncharacterized. The transcript is spliced from 2 exons. NCBI's taxonomy places the organism in Eukaryota, Metazoa, Chordata, Testudines, Cheloniidae. The record is from RefSeq and is a predicted model, not a curated record.